AGAGUAUUCUCCAAAGCAUAAUCAUUUAUGAUUAUAGUCAUAUCAGCAAUCUUCAUUAGUUUCAUUAUGAAAUAAUGUUAAAAAAGACUUUUUAAUCUUUAAUUAGCAUGCAUUUGAUAACUGGAUUUUGAAUACUGAAUUGCAACAAUAUGUGAUACAGUGGCAUAAACUAACCUACACAGUCAUUACACCACAUCUCUUCAAUUUGUAUUUGAGUAAAUUCAUCAUGGUGUGGGAUAAUGUACGAAUAAUUUUCCAUUCCAAACAGUUGAUAUGCUGACGCUAAUUCUGUUUAAAGUGUUCGUUUGUACACGCCCAUCGUCAGACAAGACGUAUUAUGUCAUGGCACUGUCUGUCCGUCCGUGUGCCAGUCCUAGGUCAUGUUUUCGGACUUUUUUCCGUAAUGGAUGCAUGUACAGUGUUGAAAUUUGGUCACAAAUUCUCCCUUAAAAAGUGAAAGUUUAAGCUAGGUUGGUGCAUUACUGUUUAUUCAUCCCGCGGCCAUUUUCAAAUGAAACCGAGGAGUGGACUUCAAACAUCACGGUAGCAAACACAAACAGCAUGGCCAAGAAAACGAUUCGGGCGAAGAAUAUCCAGUGUCUACCUUUAUUAACACAGGAUCUCAUUGAUGACUGGGCUAACAACACGGCCAAAAUUCCUCGCUCAAAGCAGACAAAAGAAUAUAGUAACUUUGUCGAGGGAUACAUUCACGAUGUCGAAGGUCAGGUUUCGAUGGAUUCACCUUAUAUGGUCUUAUCAUCUCAAUGUGACUGUAAAGCUGGGAAUGGUCAUUGCAGCCAUUGUGUUGGACUAUUAUACCUAUUAUGUCAUUGCCAAAAGCUUGGUUUUAAAGCUGUUCCACCCAUUCAAAGCAAAACAUCCCUGCCUCAGCAUUGAAACAUUCCACAGAGGACUGAAGGGUUAGCCCCAAAACAACAUUGAGAUAUAUAAACUGAAGCCGAAGACAAGUCAACCCAAGAGGAAAUGAAAAAUAACUGAAGGCAUUCUUCCUAAUGUGUAUUGCCCUGUAAAACACCAAUCCCAAGCAAUGAAUUGAAAGACACUUUAAUCAAGCAACGUACAGCGAUCGGUAGUCAUGCCCAAAUUUUAAAAGUUUUUGGCAUUGAUGAAGAAAAUUGUGAAACUGUUCCUUCUCAAUUUGGUCCAGUGCCUGUUGGAUCUCCCCUUUCCUACCAGCAGAAAAUUUCUAAGUCAGAUGGUGACCUUAUUAUCAACAACCCCGAUCAACAGACUUUUCCUGAUUAUGAAUUACCCAACCUUAUUUCAGAAUAUAUUACUGUUCUGAGCUAUGCAGAUUUUCAUGUAUUUAUGGGACUCCACAUUAAUCAUGAUUUUGCUAUAGAAUUAGAAAAACAAACAAAUGGACAAAGUUAUAACAAGACAUGACAUAAUGUCCGUAGAAAUCACAUAACGUCUUCCAUAUUUCAAGAUAUUUGUAGUAGGAAAUCUGACUUUGAAAGUCUUGCUACAAGAAUACUACAGACCAAAAACAUUCAAACUGCUACCAUGAAAUAUGGACUUGAACAUGGACCUGAAGCUGCAAAGUUGUACUCCGAAAUCACAAUGAAUAAUGUGUACAAGUGCGGUUCUGUACUUAAUCCAACUGCACCUCAUCUUGGGACAUCUCCUGAUCGUAAAGUCUAUGACCCUACAAGCAUACCUCAGUUUGGCCUUCUUGAAAUUAAGUGUCCCGACAAGGAUUCAUUUGUAGAUUGUAAAUAUCUAGUGAAGAACAAAACUAAUGGAACAUACAAACUGAAAUAAAGUCAGUUACUUUUACCAAGUAAUGGACCAAAUGGCACUGACGGGCUUAACGUGGUGCGAUUUCUUUGUCAAUUGCCGUCAGGGCUAUCACAAGGAGAUAAUUCAUUUUGACAGUGAUAAAUGGGAUGACAUGAAAAUUUCUCUUGAUGAAUUUUAUUUCGAGUUUCUACUUCCAGCAAUUUGUAAAAAUUGUCAAAAUUAAAACAACUUCAUAAUUGAA
Long non-coding RNA from Ostrea edulis (European flat oyster), 2005 nucleotides. RefSeq lists it as uncharacterized. The transcript has 3 exons. Lineage: Eukaryota; Metazoa; Mollusca; Bivalvia; Ostreida; Ostreidae. The record is from RefSeq and is a predicted model, not a curated record.